GUCCGUUUGAAGAUAUAAAUGGUCUGACCUGCUCACUGAUAAAAUUGUUUAAGAGCCGCGGUAUUUUGACCGUGCAAAGGUAGCAUAAUCAUUAGGGGUUUAAUUGGAACCUGGAAUGAAGGGUUGGACAAAGGGAAGACUGUCUCUAUAGCAAAAUUGAAAUUUACUUUUGAGUGAGAAGGCUCAAAUGUAUCAAAGGGACGAUAAGACCCUAUAAAGCUUUAUGAAUUACUUGAAUUUGAUUGAGUUAAAUGAUAAAAAUCAAAUUUAAUAAUUUCAUUUUGUUGGGGUGAUGUGAGUAUAAUUGUUGUUAACUGCUUAAAAGAAGUUCUUGUAUAAAAGAUUUAUUAUGUAUAUGAUCCUUUUUAAAGAUUAAAAGAUUAAGUUACUUUAGGGAUAACAGCGUUAUUUCUUUUGAGAGUUCUUAUCGAAAAAGAAGAUUGCGACCUCGAUGUUGAAUUAAAAUGUCUGUAUAAUGCAGCCGUUAUACAAGAGGGUCUGUUCGACCUUUAAAUUUUU
RNAcentral lists this ribosomal RNA (519 nucleotides) under Etisus sp. BPT-2009. RNAcentral describes it as "partial 16S ribosomal RNA". It matches the Rfam family "Bacterial large subunit ribosomal RNA", at positions 1829 to 2597 of the family's 2925-position model. The record is from RNAcentral. Lineage: Eukaryota; Metazoa; Arthropoda; Malacostraca; Decapoda; Xanthidae.